AUGAACGCUGGCGGCGUGCCUAAUACAUGCCAGUCGCGCGAACAGACGAGGAGCUUGCUCCUCUGACGUUAGCGGCGGACGGGUGAGUAACACGUGGAUAACCUACCUAUAAGACUGGGAUAACUUCGGGAAACCGGAGCUAAUACCGGAUAAUAUAUUGAACCGCAUGGUUCAAUAGUGAAAGACGGUUUUGCUGUCACUUAUAGAUGGAUCCGCGCCGCAUUAGCUAGUUGGUAAGGUAACGGCUUACCAAGGCAACGAUGCGUAGCCGACCUGAGAGGGUGAUCGGCCACACUGGAACUGAGACACGGUCCAGACUCCUACGGGAGGCAGCAGUAGGGAAUCUUCCGCAAAGGGCGAAAGCCUGACGGAGCAACGCCGCGUGAGUGGUGAAGGUCUUCGGAUCGUAAAACUCUGUUAUUAGGGAAGAACAAAUGUGUAAGUAACUAUGCACGUCUUGACGGUACCUAAUCAGAAAGCCACGGCUAACUACGUG
This 496-nucleotide ribosomal RNA is filed under the name uncultured bacterium. RNAcentral's name for it is "partial 16S ribosomal RNA". It matches the Rfam family "Bacterial small subunit ribosomal RNA", at positions 29 to 507 of the family's 1533-position model. The record is from RNAcentral.